Molecule: long non-coding RNA, 1223 nt
Filed under: Arabidopsis thaliana (thale cress)
Lineage: Eukaryota; Viridiplantae; Streptophyta; Magnoliopsida; Brassicales; Brassicaceae
Description: potential natural antisense gene, locus overlaps with AT1G03550 (AT1G03545)
Source: RNAcentral
AAAGUCGAGUAUUGCACGUCAUGGGUUAGAAAAACAGAUGGAUUCAAGUGAUUUACAGUGCUGAUAAAUUCUGGAGUAGAAGAAGUUGAGAAACCUGAAUGACCCAGAUAUUGAGAAGUGUUUCGAUGCAGAAGAACCCAGCACCAAUGAAAUACAUUAUCUGUGAGGGUGAAAAAGAAGAAAAUUAGGUGAGGACUAAGAAGACUCUCACAAUCCGAAGUAAAGUACUUGUAAAUAGACAGAAAGGUUACGUACCCCGACUGCAGCAUUAGUAGUUAGAAGCUCGAUUGCUGGCAAGAAACCUCUGUUCAUAUAACCAACAAUGCAUGGAUCAGAUGGAGAUCAUCAAAGACUCAAAAGGUUUUUAACAUGUUCAUGAAAUGACGAAUCGUUAAAGAAUGUAAAACUUAAAAGGCUGAUUCUGAUGCUUUUAUCUAGAAGAAAACUCUUACGUGAGAGACUUUCCUUGGAAGAUGACUGGUGGAGCAACUGCAGCAAAGCCGCAGAACGCGAUGUGGAACUGAAAAGUGCAAGACACGGGUUUAUUUACUCAUGGCUUCUUGAAAAACUUAAAUGCAGAGGAAAUCUACCAAUAGAAAUUCGGUUUUCUUACCACGUAAAAAAAGAAAAAAGCUCCAAACUUCAGGGCACUAUCAGUUCUGCAAGAGCUCGGUAAAGAGGACGGUACCAUAAGACGUACGCUCCAGGUACCCCAGCAAGGAAGUAAAUUAUUGAGAGAAGCCAUAUAGUGGGACCUGAUUACAAAACAGAACACAUCAGAUGAUUCAACAUGGUCAGAGGAAUUAACAUUACGAAUCUGAUCGUUUAGGUAAAAACAGUAACCUUCUCCUUUGAUCCAAGCUACAGUUACUGCCACAAUAUUCCACAAGAGACAUCCUACUAACCCUGCAUAGUUCAAGAAUUUACCCUGUUAACAUUUUCUUGAUUUUUUUGCAGCGGUCUAAGAAGGGUUCACAUACCUAACAAUGUGGUGAAUGCGACGUAUUGGAUCUUCUGUAAAUGAAUUGGAAUCUCAUUUGGAAUGUCAUGAUGAAUUAAAGGAAAAAACUCCGGCCAAUUCUUCUCUUCAAUGACAACUCCAGCUGCCAAAACAACCGUAUCAAAAACUUAUUCAAUAACAGAGUUUUUGGAGUUGGUUGGUGAAUUUUGACAGAAAUCGAAAAUGGGAAGAAACUGGUUUGAACGAAUGGAUACUUUGUAGU